This 497-nucleotide ribosomal RNA is filed under the name uncultured bacterium. RNAcentral's name for it is "partial 16S ribosomal RNA". It matches the Rfam family "Bacterial small subunit ribosomal RNA", at positions 28 to 507 of the family's 1533-position model. The record is from RNAcentral.
GAUGAACGCUGGCGGCGUGCCUAAUACAUGCAAGUCGAGCGAACAGACGAGGAGCUUGCUCCUCUGACGUUAGCGGCGGACGGGUGAGUAACACGUGGAUAACCUACCUAUAAGACUGGGAUAACUUCGGGAAACCGGAGCUAAUACCGGAUAAUAUAUUGGACCGCAUGGUUCAAUAGUGAAAGACGGUUUUGCUGUCACUUAUAGAUGGAUCCGCGCCGCAUUAGCUAGUUGGUAAGGUAACGGCUUACCAAGGCAACGAUGCGUAGCCGACCUGAGAGGGUGAUCGGCCACACUGGAACUGAGACACGGUCCAGACUCCUACGGGAGGCAGCAGUAGGGAAUCUUCCGCAAUGGGCGAAAGCCUGACGGAGCAACGCCGCGUGAGUGUUGAAGGUCUUCGGAUCGUAAAACUCUGUUAUUAGGGAAGAACAAAUGUGUAAGUAACUAUGCACGUCUUGACGGUACCUAAUCAGAAAGCCACGGCUAACUACGUG